GACGAACGCUGGCGGCGUGCUUAACACAUGCCAGUCGAACGGAAAGGCCCUGCUUUUGUGGGGUGCUCGAGUGGCGAACGGGUGAGUAACACGUGAGUAACCUGCCCUUGACUUUGGGAUAACUUCAGGAAACUGGGGCUAAUACCGGAUAGGAGCUCCUGCUGCAUGGUGGUGGUUGGAAAGUUUCGGCGGUUGGGGAUGGACUCGCGGCUUAUCAGCUUGUUGGUGGGGUAGUGGCUUACCAAGGCUUUGACGGGUAGCCGGCCUGAGAGGGUGACCGGCCACAUUAGGACUGAGGUACGGCCCAGACGCCUACGGGAGGCAACGGUGGGAAGUAUUGCGGAAUGGGCGGAAGCCUGAUGCAGCAACGCCGCGUGCGGGAUGACGGCCUUCGGGUUGUGAACCGCUUUCGCCUGUGACGAAGCGUGAGUGACGGUAAUGGGUAAGGAAGCACCGGCUAACUACGUG
Molecule: ribosomal RNA, 468 nt
Filed under: uncultured bacterium
Lineage: Bacteria
Description: partial 16S ribosomal RNA
Rfam family: Bacterial small subunit ribosomal RNA
Source: RNAcentral